GACGAACGCUGGCGGCGUGCCUAAUACAUGCAAGUCGAGCGGACUUUCAAGAAGCUUGCUUUUUGAAAGUUAGCGGCGGACGGGUGAGUAACACGUGGGCAACCUGCCUGUAAGACGGGGAUAACUCCGGGAAACCGGGGCUAAUACCGGAUAAUAUCUUUCUUCGCAUGAAGGAAGGUUGAAAGGCGGCGCAAGCUGCCGCUUGCAGAUGGGCCCGCGGCGCAUUAGCUAGUUGGUGAGGUAACGGCUCACCAAGGCGACGAUGCGUAGCCGACCUGGGAGGGUGAUCGGCCACACUGGGACGGAGACACGGCCCAGACUCCUACGGGAGGCAGCAGUAGGGAAUCUUCCGCAAUGGACGAAAGUCUGACGGAGCAACGCCGCGUGAGCGAAGAAGGUCUUCGGAUCGUAAAGCUCUGUUGUCAGGGAAGAACAAGUACCGUUCGAAUAGGGCGGUACCUUGACGGUACCUGACUAGAAAGCCACGGCUAACUACGUGCCAGCAGCCGCCGUAA
RNAcentral lists this ribosomal RNA (515 nucleotides) under uncultured bacterium. RNAcentral describes it as "partial 16S ribosomal RNA". It matches the Rfam family "Bacterial small subunit ribosomal RNA", at positions 28 to 523 of the family's 1533-position model. The record is from RNAcentral.